GAUGAACGCUGGCGGCGUGCCUAAUACAUGCAAGUCGAGCGAACGGACGAGAAGCUUGCUUUUCUGAUGUUAGCGGCGGACGGGUGAGUAACACGUGGAUAACCUACCUAUAAGACUGGGAUAACUUCGGGAAACCGGAGCUAAUACCGGAUAAUAUUUUUAACCGCAUGGUUCAAAAGUGAAAGACGGUCUUGCUGUCACUUAUAGAUGUAUCCGCGCUGCAUUAGCUAGUUGGUAAGUUAACGGAUUACCAAGGCAACGAUGAAUAGCCGACCUGAGAGGGUGAUCGGCCAAACUGGAACUGAGACACGGUCCAGACUCCUACGGGAGGCAGCAGUAGGGAAUCUUCCGCAAAGGGCGAAAGCCUGACGGAGAAACGCCGCGUGAGUGAUGAAGGUCUUCGGAUCGUAAAACUCUGUUAUUAGGGAAGAACAUAUGUGUAAGUAACUGUGCACAUCUUGACGGUACCUAAUCAGAAAGCCACGGCUAACUACGUG
Molecule: ribosomal RNA, 497 nt
Filed under: uncultured bacterium
Lineage: Bacteria
Description: partial 16S ribosomal RNA
Rfam family: Bacterial small subunit ribosomal RNA
Source: RNAcentral